This 805-nucleotide ribosomal RNA is filed under the name Entrophospora sp. Its description in RNAcentral is "SSU rRNA". It matches the Rfam family "Eukaryotic small subunit ribosomal RNA", at positions 314 to 1114 of the family's 1831-position model. The record is from RNAcentral. Lineage: Eukaryota; Fungi; Glomeromycota; Glomeromycetes; Entrophosporales; Entrophosporaceae.
AUCAACUUUCGAUGGUAGGAUAGAGGCCUACCAUGGUGGUAACGGGUAACGGGGAAUUAGGGUUCGAUUCCGGAGAGGGAGCCUGAGAAACGGCUACCACUUCCAAGGAAGGCAGCGGGCGCGCAAAUUACCCAAUCCCGACACGGGGAGGUAGUGACAAUAAAUAACAAUACGGGGCUCUUUAGGGUCUCGUAAUUGGAAUGAGUACAAUUUAAAUCCCUUAACGAGGAACAAUUGGAGGGCAAGUCUGGUGCCAGCAGCCGCGGUAAUUCCAGCUCCAAUAGCGUAUAUUAAAGUUGUUGCAGUUAAAAAGCUCGUAGUUGAAUUUCGGGAUUGACUUGAUGGUCGUGCCUUACGGGGUAUGAACUGUUGCAGUCAAUUUCUCACCUUCUGGAGAAAUAUGAUGUCCUUAAUUGGGUGUCAUAUGGAACCAGAACUUUUACCUUGAAAAAAUUAGAGUGUUUAAAGCAGGCUUAUUGCUCGAAUACAUUAGCAUGGAAUAAUAAAAUAGGACGGCAUGGUUCUAUUUUGUUGGUUUCUAGGAUCACCGUAAUGAUUAAUAGGGAUAGUUGGGGGCAUUAGUAUUCAAUUGUCAGAGGUGAAAUUCUUGGAUUUAUUGAAGACUAACUACUGCGAAAGCAUUUGCCAAGGAUGUUUUCAUUAAUCAAGAACGAAAGUUAGGGGAUCGAAGACGAUCAGAUACCGUCGUAGUCUUAACCAUAAACUAUGCCGACUAGGAAUCAGACGAUGUUAAUUUUUUAAUGACUCGUUUGGCACCUUACGGGAAACCAAAGUGUUUGGGUUC